Hypoxylon fuscum is the source of this 72-nucleotide non-coding RNA. The record is from the annotation of a GenBank genome assembly. NCBI's taxonomy places the organism in Eukaryota, Fungi, Ascomycota, Sordariomycetes, Xylariales, Hypoxylaceae.
AGCUUUAUAGCGCAAUGGAAGCGCACCAGGUACAUAUCCUGGCGGUCCUCUGUUCGAUUCAGAGUGAAGCUA